This is a long non-coding RNA of Myotis lucifugus (little brown bat), 1072 nucleotides long. RefSeq lists it as uncharacterized. The transcript has 2 exons. Lineage: Eukaryota; Metazoa; Chordata; Mammalia; Chiroptera; Vespertilionidae. The record is from RefSeq and is a predicted model, not a curated record.
CGCAGUUUGAGGACCCCUGCCUUAGAGUGAGCGCAGAGUGGGCAAAACUCCUCGGACACUUGUGGUCAAACCUGCACUUCGUUUCAGCUAAAGCCUCCUUUGGUCUUGCCAUUUCAGCCCUCUCCUUCUAAGCAUGUGAGGUCUGACUUCUUUUGUCUUCUGUUCCUCAGCCCUGCAGAGAGAGCUUUGGCCCUGGGCACAACCCUUUCUUCAGAUGGCGAACUCAUUUUCUGUCUAGCAGACCAGAGGGACAAGGUGUAAUUCAACCCCUCCCUGCAUCAGACACUGCUGCCAGGGGGAAACAAUGAAGAAAGUGAUCUUUGUUGUUCCCUGAAUAGGGCCAUGAACCUGGCACCUGCUUUUGUUGCUGGCUUCAGUCAGAAGCCCUAAGGACCACACCUCAUACACUGUAGUCUGGACUUCCUGAUCUGCCUGCAUUCAGUCAAGUUUCACUCAGCUCUUAGGUGUCUGUGCCUUGGUGAAAGCUGUUGGAGACAGCAUGGCUUUCCCCUGCUUUGUCAGCAGCUGGCCAGAGUGCCUAUUGGACUGCCAGAUCUCAAGCCUUUCACAUUUGUCUGUCUCUCUCUGGAAUUUAGGGCAGAAUGUCUCUUACCACCUGAGGGUACAUUCACUGGAACCUAUUGGAGAAUAAAAGAUGAACAGCCCGGAAAAGUGUAUGGACGUAGUAUACUACUGUGCUUUGGAAUGCUCUGAUUCCCAGGAAAAGGUGCAUUGUCUGCGAGAAUACAGCUGGAGUCCAGGCCGCUGCACCCCGCCCCCUUCCCGAGAACCUCCCGUCGGAACCAUCACUCACUUCAUAAUUCCAAACAUCCUUGUUUUUGUUAUAUUUUUAUCUGAUAUGGUGAAACACACAGAGGAAAUGACAAGCUAACAUAUGUUGUCUUUUAAAUGCACUUAGUUCAAGUGGCUAUUUUAAAUGUCAGUUGUUCCUGCCAUUAGAUUCCUGUUGUCUGGGCUGUUUCUUUCUUCCUGGGUUGGGAGGAGUUUCUGAUAGAAUUUUACAGUGGCAUUAAAUCCAGAUCUUUCCUGGCUGAUUGAUAAUUCCUUUAAA